GGUUUUUGUAUACUUUUUCAUAACAGGUUAGUGACAGAUGACAACUCUUGGAUGUCGAUACUCAGUUCAAAUAUAAAGCUAUCAUCUUCUUCCUCCAUUCACAGACUAAAAGAAAUUGAAGAUUAGUGUUUCUACCUCCCAUUUUUACACUCGCUUACUGUUUCUAAUGGUAGAUGCUACGGCAUUAUAAGCUUGGUCGAUUUCCUCUUCUGUCAUCUCAACGGUAUCAUCACUGUCAUAUGCAGCAGCAUCUUUGGCAGCUCCACCAGCCUUUCCACCUACGCGAGUCCGCUGCUCUUUCAUCUUCAAAAGUUCAUCGUCUUCCCUAUUUUUG
This 334-nucleotide unclassified non-coding RNA is filed under the name Hevea brasiliensis (rubber tree). Lineage: Eukaryota; Viridiplantae; Streptophyta; Magnoliopsida; Malpighiales; Euphorbiaceae. The record is from RNAcentral.